Molecule: ribosomal RNA, 403 nt
Filed under: bacterium enrichment culture clone ALO1_GLFRUDD03GQVNP
Lineage: Bacteria
Description: bacterial SSU rRNA
Rfam family: Bacterial small subunit ribosomal RNA
Source: RNAcentral
GAGUUUGAUCAUGGCUCAGAUUGAACGCUGGCGGCAUGCCUUACACAUGCAAGUCGAACGGCAGCACGGGAGCUUGCUCCUGGUGGCGAGUGGCGAACGGGUGAGUAAUGCAUCGGAACGUAUCCUGGAGUGGGGGAUAACGUAGCGAAAGUUACGCUAAUACCGCAUAUUCUGUGAGCAGGAAAGCGGGGGACCUUCGGGCCUCGCGCUCUUGGAGCGGCCGAUGUCGGAUUAGCUAGUUGGUGAGGUAAAGGCUCACCAAGGCGACGAUCCGUAGCAGGUCUGAGAGGAUGAUCUGCCACACUGGAACUGAGACACGGUCCAGACUCCUACGGGAGGCAGCAGUGGGGAAUUUUGGACAAUGGGGGCAACCCUGACUCCAGCCAUCGCCGCGUGAGUAGAA